RNAcentral lists this small RNA (674 nucleotides) under Histoplasma ohiense. Its description in RNAcentral is "hypothetical lncRNA". The record is from RNAcentral. Lineage: Eukaryota; Fungi; Ascomycota; Eurotiomycetes; Onygenales; Ajellomycetaceae.
UAUCCCUCACUACUAAGCUAUCUAUCGCUGCUAAUCUAUCGCUGCCAACCUAUCUAUCGCUGUCAACCUAUCUAUCGCUGCCAAUUUAUCUACCACUGCCAAUCUAUCUAUCGCUGCUAAUCUAUCACUGCUGUCAAUCUAUCUAUCGCUGCUAAUCUAUCUAUUGCUGCUAAUCUAUCGCUGCUAAUCUAUUGCUGCUGCCAAUCUAUCACUGCUAAUCUAUCGCUGCUGCCAAUCUAUCGCUGCUAAUUUAUUGCUGCUGCCAAUCUAUCUAUCACUGCUAAUCUAUUGCUGCUAAUCUAUCGCUGCUAAUCUAUCACUGCCAACCUAUCUACCGCGGCGAAUCUAUCUAUUGCUGCCAACCAACCUACCUACCACUGCCAAUCUAUCGCUGCCAACCUAUCUACUGCAGUGAAUCUAUCUAUCACUAUCAUUACUAGUUCAAAAUAGAACUAGAGCAUAAAUACACUAAACUUCUUUUGAUAGAUAAUGAUUUUUGAUAAUGCUCAUAGCAUUAUAUCAUCUAUAUAGGGUAAAUCAUGGUCCCAUUUGGUUCCAUUUUGUAAAAUGAGAUCAAAUGGGAUCAGAAUCAGUAAUUUAUAAGAAGAACAUGAUCUAGGACUAGAUUUAUAAUAUAAACAGUGUAAAAUGACUAAUUUAAUAAACACUAUAUG